Molecule: ribosomal RNA, 446 nt
Filed under: uncultured bacterium
Lineage: Bacteria
Description: partial 16S ribosomal RNA
Rfam family: Bacterial small subunit ribosomal RNA
Source: RNAcentral
AACGAACGCUGGCGGCAGGCCUAAAACAUGCAAGUCGAACGAACCUUCGGGUUAGUGGCGCACGGGUGAGUAACGCGUGGGAAUGUGCCUCUGGGUGCGGAACAACGUCGGGCAACUGACGCUAAUACCGCAUAAUAUCUACGGACCAAAGAUUUAUCGCCCAGAGAUCAGCCCGCGUUAGAUUAGGUAGUUGGUGGGGUAAUGGCCUACCAAGCCUACGAUCUAUAGCUGGUCUGAGAGGAUGAUCAGCCACACUGGAACUGAGACACGGUCCAGACUUCUACGGGAGGCAGCAGUUAGGAAUAUUGGACAAUGGGCGCAAGCCUGAUCCAUCCAUGCCGCGUGUGUGACGAAGGCCUUAGGGUUGUAAAGCACUUCGUCCGCGAAGAUAAUGACAGUAACGGAAGAAGAAGCUCCGGCUAAAUUCGUGCCAGCCGCCGCCGUAA